RNAcentral lists this long non-coding RNA (564 nucleotides) under Pongo abelii (Sumatran orangutan). RNAcentral's name for it is "lincRNA". The record is from RNAcentral. Lineage: Eukaryota; Metazoa; Chordata; Mammalia; Primates; Hominidae.
CAUCUAUCAUGUCAUGGUAGGCUACAGGGAGUUCCAUGUGGGGAAGAACUGAAACCUCCUGCCAACAGCCAUGUGAGGAAGCUUGGAAAACCUUGGAAGAGUAUCCUUUAAAAAAAAGUUUUAAAUUAAACAUAAAUAAAUACAUAAACAGUGCAACUGCAACCUCAUGAGACAUCCCAAGCCAGACAACUCAGGGCUCACAAUCUACUUAAAAAUUUUGAUAUAGUCACUCAUUUAUUCUACAAACAUUUACCACAGUCCUUUGAUGUGUCAGCUCUAAGCACUCAAGAUGGAGUGGCAGUAGGAUCCCAACACUUAUAUCUGUCCAGAACUGGUCAUCAGCUGGCUUGAGUUCUCCCAUUCUGCCUGUGCCUUCCCUUAGCAAGGGAAAGAACAAGAUGGAAGAGAAGGAAAAGGCCUGAUUGAACCAGCCAAUAGAAAAUUAGAAGCUGACUAUUUUGCAAUAAUGCAGCACAACAGCAAUAAAUAAAUCAAUCACUUGGGGGGGUGGAGAAUGACUUUCCUAUAAUCAGCUAUUAAAGUCUUGUACCACUAAUUAGUCUA